Molecule: unclassified non-coding RNA, 349 nt
Filed under: soil metagenome
Description: partial contains 5.8S ribosomal RNA, internal transcribed spacer 2, and large subunit ribosomal RNA
Rfam family: 5.8S ribosomal RNA (bases 1-120)
Source: RNAcentral
GAUGAAGAACGCAGCGAAAUGCGAUACGUAAUGUGAAUUGCAGAAUUCAGUGAAUCAUCGAGUCUUUGAACGCACAUUGCGCCCCCUGGUAUUCCGGGGGGCAUGCCUGUCCGAGCGUCAUUGCUGCCCUCAAGCACGGCUUGUGUGUUGGGCCUCCGCCCCCCGGCUCCCGGGGGGCAGGCCCGAAAGGCAGCGGCGGCACCGCGUCCGGUCCUCGAGCGUAUGGGGCUUCGUCACCCGCUCCGUAGGCCCGGCCGGCGCCCGCCGGCGACCCCCCUCAAUCUUUCCAGGUUGACCUCGGAUCAGGUAGGGAUACCCGCUGAACUUAAGCAUAUCAAUAAGCGGAGGA